CCUACGGGAGGCAGCAGUGAGGAAUAUUGGUCAAUGGGCGCGAGCCUGAACCAGCCAAGUAGCGUGAAGGAUGACUGCCCUACGGGUUGUAAACUUCUUUUAUAAAGGAAUAAAACGAGGCACGUGUGCCUUUUUCAAUGUACUUUAUGAAUAAGGAUCGGCUAACUCCGUGCCAGCAGCCGCGGUAAUACGGAGGCUCCGAGCGUUAUCCGGAUUUAUUGGGUUUAAAGGGAGCGUAGUUGGGUUGUUAAGUCAGUUGUGAAAGUUUGCGGCUCAACCGUAAAAUUGCAAUUGAUACUGGCAGUCUUGAGUACAGUUGAGGUAGGCGGAAUUCGUGGUGUAGCGGUGAAAUGCUUAGAGAUCACGAAGAACCCUGAUUGCGAAGGCAGCUUACUAAACUGUGACUGACAUUGAUGCUCGAAAGUGUGGGGAUCAAACAGGAUUAGAUACCCGGGUAGUC
This 460-nucleotide ribosomal RNA is filed under the name uncultured bacterium. RNAcentral's name for it is "partial 16S ribosomal RNA". It matches the Rfam family "Bacterial small subunit ribosomal RNA", at positions 338 to 795 of the family's 1533-position model. The record is from RNAcentral.